UACGGAGGGUGCAAGCGUUAUCCGGAUUUACUGGGUUUAAAGGGUGCGUAGGUGGAUAAUUAAGUCAGUGGUGAAAUCUUCAGGCUUAACCUGGAAACUGCCAUUGAUACUAUUUAUCUUGAAUACUUUGGAGGUAAGCGGAAUAUGUCAUGUAACGGUGAAAUGCUUAGAUAUGACAUAGAACACCAAUUGCGAAGGCAGCUUACUACACAGUAAUUGACACUGAGGCACGAAAGCGUGGGGAUCAAACAGG
This 253-nucleotide ribosomal RNA is filed under the name uncultured bacterium. Its description in RNAcentral is "partial 16S ribosomal RNA". It matches the Rfam family "Bacterial small subunit ribosomal RNA", at positions 524 to 776 of the family's 1533-position model. The record is from RNAcentral.